AGAGUUUGAUCAUGGCUCAGAGCGAACGUUAGCGGCGGGCCUAACACAUGCAAGUCGAGCGAGAAAGUGGCUUCGGCCAUCAGUAAAGCGGCGGACGGGUGAGUAACACGUAGGUAAUCUUCCCUUGAGCGGGGGACAACGUUUCGAAAGGAACGCUAAUACCGCAUACGUUUCCAGGGACCCCGGUCUCUGGAAGGAAAGCUAGGUCGCAAGAUCCGGCACUCGAGGAGGGGCCUGCGUCGCAUCAGCUAGUUGGUGGGGUAACGGCCUACCAAGGCGACGAUCGGUAGCUGGUCUGAGAGGAUGGUCAGCCACACUGGGAUUGAGAACGGCCCAGACUCCUACGGGGGGCAGCAGUGAGGGAUCUUCGGCAAUGGGGGCAACCCUGACCGAGCAACGCCGCGUGCGGGACGACGCCUUUCGGGGUGUAAACCGCUUUUCUGGGGGACGAGGGAGUACGGACGGUACCCCAGGAAGAAGUCUCGGCUAACUACGUGCCAGCAGCCGCGGUAAUAC
This 516-nucleotide ribosomal RNA is filed under the name uncultured bacterium. Its description in RNAcentral is "bacterial SSU rRNA". It matches the Rfam family "Bacterial small subunit ribosomal RNA", at positions 8 to 526 of the family's 1533-position model. The record is from RNAcentral.